UACCAGGAAGGGAUUAUUGCGGCUGUCUGCUCAGCUGAAUGGCACCGUGGGUUAGAAGCUGAACUUUGUGUUAACCCAUACAGCCGUGUUCAAAAUAACAGCAGUGUGUUUAACAAGAAGUAAGGGGAAGGAAAUAUCGGGCUGCUUAGGAGAUAUCCGUGUCGGUAUGUUUCCUUACAACCGCAAACAUUUACUGUUUAAUAAACUGAAAAAAUGCUUGAAGAGUUUACUUUCCUGUGAAUCAUAAAAAUAAAUAUAUGUAGCUAGAACAGCUGUUUCAGAGAACUGCUACACAUCUGUGUUGGAGUCGACCAACUUGUGGCUCCUGUGAACUGGUACUCCAGCCCAGGAUAACUGGACUACAUUUCAGAAUACAUCAACAUUUCUUUAUUUUGCCUCAGUUUGGGGUCAAUGUGUUGUUGAAACAUCCAUUUAAUGGAAACUUUUCACAUCAGCGUAAGUAUUUGGAUGUAUAGGCAUGUUCAAUAAAUUAGAUUAUGUGUUCCGAUGAGGCUUGUUUGACAGAUUAAAAGUGUUUUUAAAAAUAACAACCGUUAAACUAGCAAAAGUUAAACACAGUUUUCACUAAGCACACAUUUCUGUAUUUAUUGAUUUGAUGUAAUAUAAUAUAAUCAGAAACUGGCUAUUAAAAGGGAGGGAGGUUUUGUGUCAAGAGGUUUAAAUCAAUAUAAAACACCCAUCAUCAGAACCAAAAUGAGAACCUUCUGCAGGUCUGUGUGGGGUUGAAGCUUUGGAACAAACAGUCUGAAUGUGCAGCUCAAGCACAACAGUUUAAAUCAAAACAUAAAGAUCAUAAAUGAAUAUUAUACUUAAAAUAUUGUUUAUCUGUAAAUAUAUCAUAUUUUUGGUAAAUAUGUGGAUAAUGUUGAAAAGAAAUACACAAGUAGAGCACAUAACUAGAAGUUUUCAUCAUGUAACUGGGAGCAGAUCAGUGUGAAAGUGUCUGGUAAACAGGUUGCGUCAUUAUAAGUUAGUACUUCCCCACACCCAAGAAAUAUGGACACAAAUUCUCAACACCACCUCACCAUUUUUCAUUUCUUGUCAUUUUUUCUUCUUUUUAAUAUCUUCUAUAUAUGCAGUUACAUAUUCAAAAUUAAAAUAAAAACUAAAUAGUCUUCUUUCA
Molecule: long non-coding RNA, 1144 nt
Organism: Girardinichthys multiradiatus
Lineage: Eukaryota; Metazoa; Chordata; Actinopteri; Cyprinodontiformes; Goodeidae
Exons: 2
Source: RefSeq, a predicted model, not a curated record